This 253-nucleotide ribosomal RNA is filed under the name uncultured bacterium. RNAcentral describes it as "partial 16S ribosomal RNA". It matches the Rfam family "Bacterial small subunit ribosomal RNA", at positions 524 to 776 of the family's 1533-position model. The record is from RNAcentral.
UACGUAGGGUGCAAGCGUUAAUCGGAAUUACUGGGCGUAAAGCGUGCGCAGGCGGUUCGUCGUGUCCGAUGUGAAAGCCCCGGGCUCAACCUGGGAAUGGCAUUGGAAACUGGCGGGCUUGAGUGUGGCAGAGGGGGGUGGAAUUCCGCGUGUAGCAGUGAAAUGCGUAGAGAUGCGGAGGAACACCGAUGGCGAAGGCAGCCCCCUGGGCUAACACUGACGCUCAGGCACGAAAGCGUGGGGAGCAAACAGG